GAAGAACAGUGCUACAGUGUGACACCAGCCUCAGAUAGGAGGGAAGUCUGCACUCUGUAGCUGGCAUGUCCAGCUGCAGCUGAAUUGUUGGCCUCAGGAAAGGCCAUGAAAACCAAAUCAGAAGCUCAGGUCACAGACCCUGCUACACCUGUGAAGAGAGAAUGCAGAAAGUGAUUUUCCCAUGAUUACUGAAGGCCUAAGUGUUGGGAUAAUUAUAUAUGCUGCUACUGACACCUGUGGGCAAGACAGCUUUGCAAGGUGGGAAAAACUCAGUUCUGAAAUCCACCUCCAACUUCUGCAUGUGAUGUCACUUUAUCUAUUCAUUGCUUUUACUGCUCUUUUGCUUUAGUUGUUUUGUUUCUUAUACGUCUCUACCAUAAACUGUGUUCAGUUUUUACUUUGCCCAGGACUUGCCAGUAUUUCAAGUUCACUUUCAUCUGGGAUAUUACAACUAAUAUACACUAGCAAAUAGAUUGCAGAACAUGUUGUAGGAACUUUCCAGGUCAAUGGAUAUUUUCUUUUACACUGAAAACACUGGCAUUGGGGUUAAAUGCUUCACGAGGACGAGAACACAAGGGAUUGCACCAACUGCAAUGUCUCCAAAGCAGCUGAUGCCACUUUGACUGCGAGGAAUCCAUAACUUUCCUGUCAUGUGACAUCGUUGCAGCAACUCUGGUUGUAAGCAUUUAUCAAAUUCUUGAAAAAGUCCAGGUAGUGUUGCAAUUAAAUGUGCUUGUCCUAUUUAGAGAAGAGGCCAGGAGCAGAGCUGAAUAGAGAGGUCAAAUCAGAACCUGUAUUAGUAGUAUUUUUAGAGAAGAGGAAUUACAGUUUGUUGUAAAAUGGAUAAAUGUCUCAGGAACUUUGUAUAAGCCAACAAUCACUUAUUGCACAAGUUAAACUAGUUUUUUUUCUGCACAAUUGCCCAGCAGAGCUAACAAAGCUGAAUCCGCAGUUCUGAGAAUCACAGGAGGAAAUAAAACUCCUGUCUAUUAAAAGGAUACAACAGUAUAUGGAAGAUACAAAGGGAUGUUAAAUAAAGGUCUGUGCCACUGCGUCUACCUUUUUAGUGACAUAUUUUAAAAUCCAGUUAAAUUACAAUAAUUGAACUUUCCUAAUCCAGUAGUGAAGGACUCUGGUACACAGUAAAGUACAGAAAUGCCCUUUAAACAUUUGUUACUGUAAAGAUUUUCUUUCCUGAGUGAAUGUUUAAAAAAAAUUAAGUCAGUGGAAUUGUGCCUUGCAAGAGGAGGGGAAAAACCAUCCAUCAAAGUCCACAGAAGAGUUUCAAGGCUCUAUUAGAAAGGUUGCAGCCACUGCCUCAAGAACUAUGGAAGCAAUCAAGAUGGUGAAAAAGUGCCUCUUGCUGCCAUGUAGGUAUAACGGGGGCAAGUAAAUUCCUUUACAUGACAAUAGUUAAGUGUGAUUGCCACUGACUUUACCCUACUGGGUGAAGAGCUGCUGUGAGGUGGGAAAGCUCAGAGUAGCUUAGCACUGAAAAUAGCAGUGGCUGGCUUGGUUCUCCAGGCAUCCUUGCUGCGGUCUGUGGGGAAGUUAACAUGCUUCAGUUGUGUUGCCUGCAAGACUGCUGCUGAAGGCCUUCUCCAGUAACUGAAAGUCCCCAAGUGCCCUAUUAAGACAACUGUAACAUUCCUCUGCAUGGGGAAUUUAGCUGAAGAUGAGAUCUGGCCCUCUAUUUUUGUGUGUGAAAUGCUUUCUGCACCAGGAGGUUCUGUUUCCAGAAUGAACCUGGACAGGCUACAGCACAGAGAAGUUGGCAGAAUACAGUUCUAAUUACAACUUCUGAUCAAAUGAUGUACAGUUGUAGCGAAAUAUCAAAUAAUAUCCAAAAUCAAUACUGUGGCACUUUUCACAGCUGCAAGCACGACAAAAAAAAAGGUCUUUCACUCUUCAAUAUUUCUUGUAACUUGAAACAAAGGAGCUUUUUAUAUUCAAAAUACCAAGUAGUUGAGUCAUCCAGUAUAGAGAGAUCUCUAAUACUAUAUUCUUGAAUUGGAAUCAGAGGCAAUUUUAGUAUUGUCCAUAAACACCAACCAGCUGACAAGGAUGUUUCAAUUCCAGUCAUGGAUGAUAAACAGCGUGGAGGUGAAAUGCUGCAGCUGCUGACUGGUAGAGAUUGCUAUCAGGAUUAAACAGGGAGCCUGUGUUUUACUGGAUCAAGAAAGAUUAGCUAUGUUUUGAAUAUGGGAUUAUGAAGUAAUUAAACAAAUGAAGGCACAUUUCUGACAUGAAUGCUACAAGUAAGAAUGUAAUUACUUUAUACAUAACGUUUCUGUAAUUUAUCAUUCAGGUCUUUGACUGGCAAACAUAUCAGCCUGCUUCAUCCUAAGUGAAGUCAACGGUAUUGAAGUCACUGAGCCUGGUUUACUGUGCUAACAAGUGUGUUUUACAGGGAUGAUCUAACUGCUGCUGUAAAUAUUUAAUGGGUAGAAGCCCUAUGAGUUUGGGUGGAAAUAACGUUCUGCUGUUCCUUACCAGCCCGACCUGGCAAUUCAUGAGUUGAAGAAAUGGUCAGGAGAGGAUUAAAUUGGUCUGUCCCACAGUGGGAUCAAGAAAGUAGUAAAUAUGCAAAACUGGUAAGCACUGAUGUACCUCCUUGUGCGUAAAAAUCCUCAAAUAUUUAGAAGGUAACGUGGUUUGUAUAUGAUGGCGCUGAAAUGCAGCAAUGUCUGGGGUGAAACACAUGAGUCAAGUGGAACUGAAUAUAGUUCAAUGGCAACAGAUUUCUGUGAGCUCACUGGGGGAAUCUCUUAACCAUAAGAUUGAAGAUGGUGCAAGAUUUUUAAUGUCUGUGCAGAGAAGACGAAUUCUUUGUUGUUAAUAGCCUUAGAGAAAAGGCCCAUAGAGAAUAAAUUGCACAGUACUCCAUUAAUUUCAGUAAGAAAGGAGAAAGUUUUUGUUCACCCUGCCAGUUGGAAGUUAUAUAACCAUUAUCUGUCAUUGAAACUAACAAUUUGAUAGGGAAGUCUGUGCACAACAGAUAUUUGAGAGGAAUGCACACCUUGGACCACCAUCAGAAGCAUGCUAUAGUCCAAUAUAGGAGGGAAGGUGGAGCAAGGUGUUUGGAUAUGGACUGACAUCUGAAUCUGCAGGGCUUUAGUUUGGAUUUCUUCAUUUGUUGUUUUUCUUAGGUUAUAUUUUGCCAUCCUGCAGGCAUGUGGCUUUCAUUAGAUUCUGUGCAUACAAAGGAGAGAAUGCAAUGUGGGGUACUUAUGUGUGUGCUUUUCUCUACUGUUAAAAUUAAAAUAUUAAAAUGCCUUUUUUGUUUG
Long non-coding RNA from Columba livia (rock pigeon), 3287 nucleotides. RefSeq lists it as uncharacterized. NCBI's taxonomy places the organism in Eukaryota, Metazoa, Chordata, Aves, Columbiformes, Columbidae. The transcript is spliced from 3 exons. The record is from RefSeq and is a predicted model, not a curated record.